Molecule: transfer RNA, 66 nt
Filed under: Marmota monax (woodchuck)
Lineage: Eukaryota; Metazoa; Chordata; Mammalia; Rodentia; Sciuridae
Description: tRNA.Undet
Source: RNAcentral
GGUUGUGGCUCAGCGGUAGAGCACUCCCCUCCACAUGCGAGGCCCUAAGUUCGAUCCUCAGCACCA